UACGAAGGGGGCUAGCGUUGCUCGGAAUUACUGGGCGUAAAGGGCGCGUAGGCGGACAGUUUAGUCAGAGGUGAAAGCCCAGGGCUCAACCUUGGAACUGCCUUUGAUACUGACUGUCUUGAAUUCGGGAGAGGUGAGUGGAAUGCCGAGUGUAGAGGUGAAAUUCGUAGAUAUUCGGCGGAACACCAGUGGCGAAGGCGACUCACUGGCCCGAUACUGACGCUGAGGCGCGAAAGCGUGGGGAGCAAACAGG
Molecule: ribosomal RNA, 253 nt
Filed under: uncultured bacterium
Lineage: Bacteria
Description: partial 16S ribosomal RNA
Rfam family: Bacterial small subunit ribosomal RNA
Source: RNAcentral